GGAUGUGAGGGCAAUCUGACUGUGGCAUCUGUCACUGUAUUGAUUGCCAGGGUUGAUUCAACUGAGCUGGCUGGCUAGGCGGGUAUUCCUUUCCUCCCUUAUGGUUCCAUGUGGGUCCCUCCUGAAAGCUAUGCACAUGGUCAAAGAGGAUGGCCAUCCCCACUAGAGUAGUACCAUUCUUUGCACAAGACUUUAUGAGUAGCUGUGCUCCCCUUCCAGAACCUCUAAACAAGCUCUUAGGGAAAUAGAGAAGAUGGCUAAGUACUGAUGACAUUGUUUAAGCCCCCAGUUAUGACUGUGCUUGAAA
Molecule: small nuclear RNA, 307 nt
Filed under: Carlito syrichta (Philippine tarsier)
Lineage: Eukaryota; Metazoa; Chordata; Mammalia; Primates; Tarsiidae
Description: 7SK RNA (ENSTSYG00000021778.2)
Rfam family: 7SK RNA
About the family: 7SK was discovered as an abundant small nuclear RNA in the mid-70s but a possible function has only recently been suggested.
Source: Rfam by way of RNAcentral